RNAcentral lists this ribosomal RNA (600 nucleotides) under uncultured bacterium. RNAcentral's name for it is "bacterial SSU rRNA". The stretch from base 1 to 427 matches the Rfam family "Bacterial small subunit ribosomal RNA", at positions 120 to 546 of the family's 1533-position model. The record is from RNAcentral.
CACAACAUGCCAUAUACUAGGGGUAUAGCUUUGGGAAACUGAAGGUAAUCCCCCAUAACAUUGCGAGAGGGCAUCUGAUUGCAAUUAAAGUUUCGACGGUAUAUGAUUGGUGUGCGUUUGAUUAGCUAGUUGGUAGGGUAACGGCCUACCAAGGCGACGAUCAAUAGCUGGCGUGAGAGCGCGACCAGCCACACUGGAACUGAGACACGGUCCAGACUCCUACGGGAGGCAGCAGUAGGGAAUAUUGGACAAUGGGCGAAAGCCUGAUCCAGCCAUGCCGCGUGAUAGAUGAAGGCCCUCUGGGUUGUAAAUAUCUUUUAUCUGGGAAGAAACACCUCGUUUCUACGAGGCUUGACGGUACCAGAGGAAUAAGCACCGGUUAACUCCGUGCCAGCAGCCGGGUAUACGGAGGGUGCAAGCGUUAUCCGGAUUAUGGGUUAAGGGUCGUAGGGAUCUGUAAGUAGUGUGAAUUAAUUAUGGAAAUUGCCAUGAUAUGAGUUGAUGUGGAAUAUGAUNAAGGNACUGUCAAGCGGGGAAAAUGGCCUCAGAUCAUCACUUANAAACCCCCAAUUGGCCGAACGGGCGGUAACUCACAGCCAC